RNAcentral lists this ribosomal RNA (487 nucleotides) under Shigella boydii. Its description in RNAcentral is "bacterial SSU rRNA". It matches the Rfam family "Bacterial small subunit ribosomal RNA", at positions 1 to 477 of the family's 1533-position model. Lineage: Bacteria; Pseudomonadati; Pseudomonadota; Gammaproteobacteria; Enterobacterales; Enterobacteriaceae. The record is from RNAcentral.
AAAUUGAAGAGUUUGAUCAUGGCUCAGAUUGAACGCUGGCGGCAGGCCUAACACAUGCAAGUCGAACGGUAACAGGAAGCAGCUUGCUGAUUCGCUGACGAGUGGCGGACGGGUGAGUAAUGUCUGGGAAACUGCCUGAUGGAGGGGGAUAACUACUGGAAACGGUAGCUAAUACCGCAUAAUGUCGCAAGACCAAAGAGGGGGACCUUCGGGCCUCUUGCCAUCGGAUGUGCCCAGAUGGGAUUAGCUUGUUGGUGGGGUAACGGCUCACCAAGGCGACGAUCCCUAGCUGGUCUGAGAGGAUGACCAGCCACACUGGAACUGAGACACGGUCCAGACUCCUACGGGAGGCAGCAGUGGGGAAUAUUGCACAAUGGGCGCAAGCCUGAUGCAGCCAUGCCGCGUGUAUGAAGAAGGCCUUCGGGUUGUAAAGUACUUUCAGCGGGGAGGAAGGGAGUAAAGUUAAUACCUUUGCUCAUUGACGUUA